This 490-nucleotide ribosomal RNA is filed under the name uncultured bacterium. RNAcentral describes it as "partial 16S ribosomal RNA". It matches the Rfam family "Bacterial small subunit ribosomal RNA", at positions 28 to 507 of the family's 1533-position model. The record is from RNAcentral.
GAUGAACGCUCGCUACAGGCUUAACACAUGCAAGUCGAGGGGAAACGCUGAGAGAGCUUGCUCUCUUAGGCGUCGACCGGCGCACGGGUGAGUAACGCGUAUCCAACCUACCCAUUACAGGGGGAUAACCUUGCGAAAGUAAGACUAAUACCCCAUGGCAUUUUAUGGUGGCAUCAUUAUAGGAUUAAAGAUUUAUUGGUAAUGGAUGGGGAUGCGUCUGAUUAGCUUGUUGGCGGGGUAACGGCCCACCAAGGCAACGAUCAGUAGGGGUUCUGAGAGGAAGGUCCCCCACAUUGGAACUGAGACACGGUCCAAACUCCUACGGGAGGCAGCAGUGAGGAAUAUUGGUCAAUGGGCGAGAGCUUGAACCAGCCAAGUAGCGUGCAGGAUGACGGCCCUAUGGGUUGUAAACUGCUUUUAUAGGGGAAUAAAGUGAGCUACGUGUAGUUUAUUGCAUGUACCCUAUGAAUAAGGACCGGCUAAUUCCGUG